This 619-nucleotide ribosomal RNA is filed under the name Paenibacillus sp. I12B-00130. Its description in RNAcentral is "bacterial SSU rRNA". It matches the Rfam family "Bacterial small subunit ribosomal RNA", at positions 86 to 692 of the family's 1533-position model. Lineage: Bacteria; Bacillati; Bacillota; Bacilli; Caryophanales; Paenibacillaceae. The record is from RNAcentral.
UGAUGCUUAGCGGCGGACGGGUGAGUAACACGUAGGUAACCUGCCCAUAAGACUGGGAUAACUACCGGAAACGGUAGCUAAUACCGGAUAGGUUCUUCUCUCGCAUGGGAGGGGAAAGAAAGACGGAGCAAUCUGUCACUUAUGGAUGGACCUGCGGCGCAUUAGCUAGUUGGUGAGGUAACGGCUCACCAAGGCGACGAUGCGUAGCCGACCUGAGAGGGUGAUCGGCCACACUGGGACUGAGACACGGCCCAGACUCCUACGGGAGGCAGCAGUAGGGAAUCUUCCGCAAUGGGCGAAAGCCUGACGGAGCAACGCCGCGUGAGUGAUGAAGGUUUUCGGAUCGUAAAGCUCUGUUGCCAGGGAAGAACGUCCUUAAGAGUAACUGCUUAAGGAGUGACGGUACCUGAGAAGAAAGCCCCGGCUAACUACGUGCCAGCAGCCGCGGUAAUACGUAGGGGGCAAGCGUUGUCCGGAAUUAUUGGGCGUAAAGCGCGCGCAGGCGGUCAUUUAAGUUGGGUGUUUAACCCCAGGGCUCAACCCUGGGUCGCAUCCAAAACUGGGUGACUUGAGUGCAGAAGAGGAGAGUGGAAUUCCACGUGUAGCGGUGAAAUGCGUA